Molecule: long non-coding RNA, 368 nt
Organism: Cervus elaphus (red deer)
Lineage: Eukaryota; Metazoa; Chordata; Mammalia; Artiodactyla; Cervidae
Exons: 1
Source: RefSeq, a predicted model, not a curated record
AUGAAAAAUAGCAGUUGGAUCAGAAAGAACUGGCUGCUUGUAGCUGUGAUUUCCUUCAUAGGUGUCCAUCUUGGGACGUAUUUUAUACAGAGGGCUGCAAAACAGUCUGUAAAGUCUCAGCCUGAAGGCAAACAAAAGAAUUUGAAUAAUGGAGUAAAAUAAAUAUUUGGAAUUACUAAAAUGUCAUGAUAUCGAUCAUUAUGUGCUGGUUAGCUUUAUAAGCAUGAAGCUCAGUAUCUAAUUUUACAGCCACCAUGCUGUAAAUCCGAACUCUGAUUCCUGAAAGAUAAUCUUGUUAAAUGUUAAAACCCUCGACAAUACAAUGAAUAGGAAACUCUGGUUAACAAAAUAAAAGCUUUCUUCACAAA